This 438-nucleotide ribosomal RNA is filed under the name uncultured bacterium. RNAcentral's name for it is "partial 16S ribosomal RNA". It matches the Rfam family "Bacterial small subunit ribosomal RNA", at positions 339 to 795 of the family's 1533-position model. The record is from RNAcentral.
CUACGGGGUGCAGCAGUGGGGAAUAUUGCACAAUGGGGGGAACCCUGAUGCAGCAACGCCGCGUGGAGGAUGACGCAUUUCGGUGUGUAACUCCUUUUAUAUGUCAAGAAAAUGACGGUAGCAUAUGAAUAAGCACCGGCUAACUCCGUGCCAGCAGCCGCGGUAAUACGGAGGGUGCAAGCGUUACUCGGAAUCACUGGGCGUAAAGGACGCGUAGGCGGGUUGGAAAGUCAGGUGUGAAAUCCUACAGCUUAACUGUAGAACUGCACUUGAAACUUCUAAUCUAGAGUAUGGGAGGGGGAGAUGGAAUUAGUGGUGUAGGGGUAAAAUCCGUAGAUAUCACUAGGAAUACCUAAAGCGAAGGCGAUCUCCUGGAACAUUACUGACGCUAAGGCGUGAAAGCGUGGGGAGCAAACAGGAUUAGAUACCCUAGUAGUC